RNAcentral lists this ribosomal RNA (253 nucleotides) under uncultured bacterium. RNAcentral describes it as "partial 16S ribosomal RNA". It matches the Rfam family "Bacterial small subunit ribosomal RNA", at positions 524 to 776 of the family's 1533-position model. The record is from RNAcentral.
UACGGAGGGGGCCAGCGUUGUUCGGAAUUACUGGGCGUAAAGCGCACGUAGGCGGCUUUGCAAGUCAGAGGUGAAAGCCCGGGGCUCAACCCCGGAAUUGCCUUUGAGACUGCAUCGCUAGAAUUGUGGAGAGGUAAGUGGAAUUCCGAGUGUAGAGGUGAAAUUCGUAGAUAUUCGGAAGAACACCAGUGGCGAAGGCGACUUACUGGACACAUAUUGACGCUGAGGUGCGAAAGCGUGGGGAGCAAACAGG